UAGUGCAUUGUUAACGACCAUGAAAUCACAAGAAACAGAAGUUGUGCUCUGAGGAAAUGGUAUGUGAACACUACACAUACACUAUUUUGGAUGUGCAGAGUCAAACGUUUCGUACUGCAGUACCAUGGAAAUCAGAGGUUUUAAGGAAGCCCUUAAAACCACUGAAGAAAAUGGAAUGAUGGUCUCUACAUCUCCACUGACGGACAUCCACAAAUCAUAAAAAAAUGAGGGUCUGUCAUCCAGAAACACACGAUGAAUGGGCAGGCCUGGGAGAGUGGAGUCCAUCCAUCAUGAAUCAUUCCUGGUGGAGCGCACAAAAUUAUGAGGGUGACGCAGAGAUGCUGAAAGAGAAGUAGAUAUCGGUAAUACACCACGUUACCAACCGACACGACCGGCCAGGGAACACACACUAUCACCGAUGUGCUCAUGAGCCCCUUGAUGAGAUGAGUCAUGGAGGUGAGCUUUGGUUAGGGCCAGGAUCUGAAGCCCACGACACACUCGUGACCACUGUGGAAGACAAGAGGCUUUUGAAAGACCUGGAUCAUCCGAUGAAGUGCAUCCACACAACAUCACUAGAGAGAAUACAUUUUGGAUAUGAUGUGAUGAUCCAUGCCUCAUGCUUGCUGCUCAGGAUCAUAACAACAAUGUGAACAGGGAACAGGCUGUUUUUCAAGUUGGGGGGAGUGUUGGUGGAACCCAAGUCCACAAGAGUUUCUGAGCAAGACCAGUGGCUGUUGAGAAGGGCUAUGGAUAUAGUUUCAGAUUCGCACCAGGCCAUGGACAUGAGAGUGAACCAAACACAUAUCACUGCUCCACUAGAGAGACCAUACAGACGACAGAUCGUUUUUCAAACUCAGCAGUGGUCACGUUUCAAGUAUUUGCAUCAUUAUUAAACACAUGAUUUACACAGCAGCAUUGUUUGAAUAUGCAUUAAUUUUUAAUUUUUGACACAUUUGGUCAAAACAUUUUAAUUUUAACAAUAACAUUUUUGUAGGAUACCCUAUGUUGUUGAGCCCUGCAUUACUGAAACAGAAAAGUUGUUUAAACAUUGUUAGAAAUCUUGAUGGAAUGCAUUG
This is a long non-coding RNA of Acanthopagrus latus (yellowfin seabream), 1076 nucleotides long. RefSeq lists it as uncharacterized. The transcript has 3 exons. Lineage: Eukaryota; Metazoa; Chordata; Actinopteri; Spariformes; Sparidae. The record is from RefSeq and is a predicted model, not a curated record.